UACGGGGGGGCAAGCGUUGUUCGGAAUUACUGGGCGUAAAGGGCUCGUAGGCGGCCAACUAAGUCGGAUGUGAAAUCCCCAAGCUUAACUUGGGAACUGCAUCCGAUACUGGAUGGCUUGAAUCCGGGAGAGGGAUGCAGAAUUCCAGGUGUAGCGGUGAAAUGCGUAGAUAUCUGGAGGAAUACCGGUGGCGAAGGCGGCAUCCUGGACCGGCAUUGACGCUGAGGAGCGGAAGCUAGGGGAGCAAACGGG
Molecule: ribosomal RNA, 252 nt
Filed under: uncultured bacterium
Lineage: Bacteria
Description: partial 16S ribosomal RNA
Rfam family: Bacterial small subunit ribosomal RNA
Source: RNAcentral